Molecule: ribosomal RNA, 534 nt
Filed under: Clostridioides difficile
Lineage: Bacteria; Bacillati; Bacillota; Clostridia; Peptostreptococcales; Peptostreptococcaceae
Description: partial 23S ribosomal RNA
Rfam family: Bacterial large subunit ribosomal RNA
Source: RNAcentral
UUUAACUGAGCGUUCAGUUACUUGACGUAGACCCGAAACCGGGCGACCUACCCAUGAGCAGGAUGAAGCGAAAGUAAAAUUUCGUGGAGGUCCGAACCCACGAGCGUUGAAAAGCUCGGGGAUGACUUGUGGGUAGCGGUGAAAUUCCAAUCGAGCCCGGAGAUAGCUGGUUCUCCCCGAAAUAGCUUUAGGGCUAGCCUCAAGGUGAGAGAUACGGAGGUAGAGCACUGAAUGUCCUAGGGGGUAUUGCACCUACCGAAGACUAUCAAACUCCGAAUGCCGUCAUCUUAUACUUGGGAGUCAGACUGUGGGUGAUAAGAUUCAUAGUCGAAAGGGCAACAGCCCAGAUCGUCAGCUAAGGUCCCUAAAUGUAAGUUAAGUGGUAAAGGAUGUGGGAUUGCACAGACAACCAGGAUGUUGGCUUAGAAGCAGCCACUCAUUCAAAGAGUGCGUAAUAGCUCACUGGUCGAGUGAUCCUGCGCCGAAGAUUUCCGGGGCUAAAACUUACUACCGAAGCUACGGCAUCAGUAAUGA